This is an RNA transcript of Propithecus coquereli (Coquerel's sifaka), 4334 nucleotides long. It is a transcript of the gene named doublecortin-like kinase 2, with no coding region annotated. The transcript is spliced from 17 exons. The record is from RefSeq and is a predicted model, not a curated record. NCBI's taxonomy places the organism in Eukaryota, Metazoa, Chordata, Mammalia, Primates, Indriidae.
CCGCGGUUUUGGCAUCCCCUGGGGGCAGGAAGCCCUCUCCAGCCCUGAUCCCCGGCCGGGCGGCAGAGUCGGGCCUGCGCGCCGAUGCUCGCGGGUGGGCUGGGCCGGCCGGCUGCGUGGGAGGCGGGCCGCAUUAUUUCCCGCUAGGGCCGGGCUCUGUGGGAGGAAGCGGCCCGGCACGGCCCUCUCGGCCAGAAACGGCGCUCGCUGCAGCGCGGGCCGUGGACCGGGCGCGUGGGCGGGCGGGGCGCGACGCCCCCACGGGCCCGGGGCGCCUCUCCCAAGCUCCCCGCCCCUCCCCCUCUUCUUCCUUCCUUCCUUCCUUCCUUCCCCUCGGCGCUCCCGGGAACGCUGGGCGGACGCGAGCCGCGCGGGGCGUCUCAGCUUUGUGUGCGCCCGCGGGCCCGGCGCAAGCCUCGGGCGGCCCAACUUUGCGUCUCCUGGCAAGCUCCCGAGCGGGAGUUGUGAGGCGUGGCCGGUGGAGGAGGCGCUUGGGGGGGCGUGGGGCUCCCCGGCAGGCGGGAGGCUCGCAGCGAGCGGCGCCGGACAAUGCGCUGGGCAGCUCGCCGCCGCGGCCCCUUUUAGCUGCGGGCGCGGGCGGGCCGGCGCCUCCGCGGCUCAUCGGCCCCACCUGCAAGGAGAGGGCGGGAUGCCAGAGCCAGGUGUCCCGGCGCUUUAAGGGCCCUCACAGUCAGACCUCCCCGCACGGGUUCUCGCACUGGCACUAGUCUGCCUGGAACGCUUUUCUGUGGGAAGCGCUCGGAGCAGCCGCGAUGGCCAGCACCAGGAGCAUCGAGCUGGAGCACUUUGAGGAACGGGACAAAAGGCCGCGGUCGGGGUCGCGGAGAGGGGCACCCAGCUCCUCUGGGGGCAGCAGCAGCUCGGGCCCUAAGGGGAAUGGGCUCAUCCCCAGCCCGGCGCACAGUGCCCACUGCAGCUUCUACCGCACGCGGACCCUGCAGGCCCUCAGCUCGGAGAAGAAGGCCAAGAAGGCGCGCUUCUACCGGAACGGGGACCGCUACUUCAAGGGCCUGGUGUUUGCCAUCUCCAGCGACCGCUUCCGGUCCUUCGACGCGCUCCUCAUAGAGCUCACCCGCUCCCUGUCGGACAACGUGAAUCUGCCCCAGGGCGUCCGCACCAUCUAUACCAUCGACGGCAGCCGGAAGGUCACCAGCCUGGACGAGCUGCUGGAAGGUGAGAGUUACGUGUGUGCAUCCAACGAACCAUAUCGUAAAGUCGAUUACACCAAAAAUGUUAAUCCGAACUGGUCCGUAAACAUCAAGGGUGGGACAACCCGAGCCCUGGCUGCUGCCUCCUCUGUGAAAAGUGAAGUAAAAGAAAGUAAAGAUUUCAUCAAACCCAAGUUAGUGACUGUGAUUCGAAGUGGAGUGAAGCCUAGAAAAGCUGUGCGGAUCCUUCUGAAUAAAAAGACUGCUCAUUCCUUUGAACAGGUCUUAACAGAUAUCACCGAAGCCAUUAAACUAGACUCAGGAGUAGUCAAGAGGCUCUGCACCCUGGACGGAAAGCAGGUUACUUGUCUGCAAGACUUUUUUGGUGAUGACGACGUUUUUAUUGCAUGUGGACCUGAAAAAUUCCGUUAUGCCCAAGAUGACUUUGUCCUGGAUCACAGUGAAUGCCGUGUCCUGAAGUCUUCUUAUUCUAGAUCCUCAACUGUCAAGUAUUCUGGAUCCAAAAGCCCUGGGCCCUCUCGACGAAGCAAAUCACCAGCUUCAGUUAAUGGAACUCCCAGCAGCCAACUUUCCACUCCUAAAUCUACGAAAUCCUCCAGUUCCUCCCCAACUAGCCCAGGAAGUUUCAGAGGAUUAAAGAUUUCUGCUCACGGCAGAUCUUCUUCCAAUGUAAAUGGUGGACCUGAACUGGAUCGUUGCAUGAGUCCUGAAGGUGUGAAUGGAAACAGGUGCUCUGAAUCAGCUCUUCUUGAGAAGUACAAAAUUGGGAAGGUCAUUGGCGAUGGCAAUUUUGCAGUAGUCAAAGAGUGUACGGACAGGUCCACCGGAAAGGAGUUUGCUCUAAAGAUUAUAGACAAAGCCAAAUGUUGUGGAAAGGAACACCUGAUUGAGAAUGAAGUGUCAAUACUGCGCCGAGUGAAACAUCCCAAUAUCAUCAUGCUGGUGGAGGAGAUGGAAACAGCCACGGAGCUCUUUCUGGUGAUGGAAUUGGUCAAAGGUGGAGAUCUCUUUGAUGCAAUUACUUCUUCAACCAAGUACACCGAGAGAGACGGCAGCGCCAUGGUGUACAACCUCGCCAACGCCCUCAGGUAUCUCCACGGCCUCAGCAUUGUGCACAGAGACAUCAAGCCAGAGAAUCUCUUGGUGUGUGAGUAUCCUGAUGGAACCAAGUCUUUGAAACUGGGAGACUUUGGGCUCGCCACCGUGGUGGAAGGCCCUUUGUACACAGUCUGUGGCACACCAACUUACGUAGCUCCAGAAAUCAUUGCUGAAACCGGCUAUGGCCUCAAGGUGGACAUCUGGGCUGCCGGUGUGAUCACGUACAUACUUCUCUGUGGAUUCCCGCCAUUCCGCAGUGAGAACAAUCUCCAGGAAGAUCUCUUUGAUCAGAUCUUGGCUGGGAAGCUGGAGUUUCCAGCCCCCUACUGGGAUAACAUCACAGACUCUGCCAAGGAAUUAAUCAGUCAAAUGCUUCAGGUAAACGUCGAAGCUCGGUGUACCGCGGGACAAAUCCUGAGUCACCCCUGGGUGUCAGAUGAUGCCUCCCAGGAGAAUAAUAUGCAAGCGGAGGUAACAGGUAAACUAAAACAGCACUUUAAUAAUGCGCUCCCCAAACAGAACAGCACCACCACUGGGGUCUCCGUCAUCAUGUUUGAUUUGACAGUUUGAGAGACACCUCAGAGUUUCGUUCUUUACCCAGUUGAGACAAUGGGGAAUCCCGCAGCAGGAUCCUGAACACGGCUCUAGAUAAGGAGGGGCAGAUUUUCUGCAGUAAGCACUGUCACGACAGCAGCAGACCUGGGAUGGAGCAGAUCUCUCCAAUUCCUCCCUCGGCUGAGGAGACCCCUGUGUCUGGGGUGGCAGCCCUGGCCGCUGCCCCUCCGGAAUCUCCCACACCCCCCUGCCCUCCUGCUGCCACAGGCUGUGAGCGGGCAGGGACCUGGCGCCGCCACCGAGACUGAGCCUUUUGCAGACGGGCCAAGCCGCUGCCGCCGCGCCAGGAAGCCCGCUCUUCUGCUUGGCCGGGCCGGGCCGCCCUCGCGAAAGAGCCUUUCUCUCCUGGCUGCGGGUUCGUUGGCCUCCGCGACGGGCUGCCUGGGAACCAGGAGCCGGGCGUCCCGGAGCCCGGUGCUGGACUCUGCCCUCUGGUUCCUGGAGACGUCACAGGCCGUGUUAGCUUUGCUGACAGAUACUUGGAGUGACUCGUUUCAAGUCAUCCCUGUUUUCAGUUCAAUGGACCUUUUACAGCUACACCAGGAGAAUGUGCCACUUUUAUCAGCAUUAAAUGCAUUUUUAUAGAAACACUUUGGAUGAACUAAGAUCUCUCCCUUAUUUAAGUUAACUCAGAGUACUCCUUUUUGGUUGUUUUGUUUUUUACAAAAGACUUAGAACUGCAUUUGUCCCUUUGUGGGAGCCCUGUGAGCGGUGACAUGACACCCUGGUCUGCUGAGGGCAGUUACUGGGACUGACUUUCCAACUGAAGAAACGAGCACUGAAGAGGACAAUCUGGUCGCUGGACACUAAUUCCAGACUUUGAGAAGUGCUUUCGACGCCCGCGAAGCAGCGCAGCCAUUGGGCUGGGGCGCUGGGCUCGCCUGAGGCGACGCUGGGUGUUUAUCCGCACAGACCCCAGGAGCAGCUCCCUUCUCCCUGAGGCAUCACGUGUUUUUCCCCGUUCUUCCCACAGCGUAUCGGGAGAUGCCAACGAAGUUGCCCUUUAGGCUUUGAUGAAAGGCUUGGCGCCCGCGCAUCAGCAAGGCUCCCCUCAGCCCGCUGCGGGCGCGGCAGCAGGAGCCGGGCUCCCGAGCAGCCCGUGUCUCCUUUCGUCCUCUGCUGCUCGCCCGGAGCGGGGCUGCAAACCGUGAGGGAGGAAACGCACCCGAGGCACAGCCAGGACUGGGCGAGAAGGUGCUCCCUGGACAUCCUCUGGAACCUCUGGAAGGCUGCUGGCAGUUUUUCCUUUUUGUGCGUCACCCUGCUCUUUUUAAUAAUUGUACAUAAUCGGUGUAUUUGUUUUACCUGCUCAUCUUCUGAACCGGUGGGCCCUUAGAGUUCCUUCCUAUUGUUAGAUUUUGCCUUUUACAAGUGUACCCAACCUGCAAUAAACUUUUCCCUCUUGAGAAAAGGUAAUCGGGGAUGGGCAAA